This 347-nucleotide ribosomal RNA is filed under the name uncultured soil bacterium. RNAcentral describes it as "bacterial SSU rRNA". It matches the Rfam family "Bacterial small subunit ribosomal RNA", at positions 26 to 375 of the family's 1533-position model. The record is from RNAcentral.
AGAUUGAACGCUGGCGGCAGGCCUAACACAUGCAAGUCGAGCGGUAGAGAGGUGCUUGCACCUCUUGAGAGCGGCGGACGGGUGAGUAAUGCCUAGGAACCUGCCUAGUGGUGGGGGAUAACGUUCGGAAACGGACGCUAAUACCGCAUACGUCCUACGGGAGAAAGCGGGGGACCUUCGGGCCUCGCGCCAUUAGAUGAGCCUAGGUCGGAUUAGCUAGUUGGUGAGGUAAUGGCUCACCAAGGCGACGAUCCGUAACUGGUCUGAGAGGAUGAUCAGUCACACUGGAACUGAGACACGGUCCAGACUCCUACGGGAGCAGCAGUUGGGGAAUAGUUAGGACAAGU